This 423-nucleotide ribosomal RNA is filed under the name uncultured bacterium. Its description in RNAcentral is "bacterial SSU rRNA". It matches the Rfam family "Bacterial small subunit ribosomal RNA", at positions 355 to 775 of the family's 1533-position model. The record is from RNAcentral.
UAAGGAAUAUUGGUCAAUGGACGCAAGUCUGAACCAGCCAUGCCGCGUGCAGGAUGAAGGCCCUCUGGGUUGUAAACUGCUUUUAUCUGGGACGAAAAACGGGAAUUCUUUCUCACUUGACGGUACCAGAGGAAUAAGCACCGGCUAACUCCGUGCCAGCAGCCGCGGUAAUACGGAGGGUGCAAGCGUUAUCCGGAUUUACUGGGUUUAAAGGGUGCGUAGGUGGGUAGGUAAGUCAGUGGUGAAAUCUUCAAGCUUAACUUGGAAACUGCCAUUGAUACUAUUUAUCUUGAAUACUUUGGAGGUAAGCGGAAUAUGUCAUGUAGCGGUGAAAUGCUUAGAUAUGACAUAGAACACCAAUUGCGAAGGCAGCUUACUACACAGUAAUUGACACUGAGGCACGAAAGCGUGGGGAUCAAACAG